Molecule: long non-coding RNA, 691 nt
Organism: Xiphophorus couchianus (Monterrey platyfish)
Lineage: Eukaryota; Metazoa; Chordata; Actinopteri; Cyprinodontiformes; Poeciliidae
Exons: 2
Source: RefSeq, a predicted model, not a curated record
UCAACCGUCAAACAUCAUUUGUCUGCGAUUUCCGCAUGGCUUCCAGCAUCGGUGGAUGUCAUUUUACCCAGAAGGCCUGGAUGGUAUACACUGUGACAGCCAAUCUCUGGCGGCGUCUACCCAGCAGGCUCCUCUUUAUCCGCACACUGAAUGUGUUCCUUUUUAUUUAUUCAUUCAUUUCCAUGUGGCCAAGCACUGUCACUUUGAUGAAUUGGACCUGGAACCAGCCACUUGUUUUCACUCAACGGGACACGCUCCCGACUUAAACAUCCACCCCACGAGGAGGGGGCUCCGUCAUUUCCGGGCUUUAUAGAAGCCAGCGCGAGGGCGGCCGUCAUCCUCACCCGCCGCAGCUUCGCUACCUGAUUUCACCUGGAGCUUUAAUAAUGGCAAAUGUUUUUGGGGCGAUUGAAGCGGAUCCUUUCGAUUUCAUCUGCACCUUUCAGAAUACUUCAUGCCAGAAGAUUACAGAAACAAGUCCCGCUUUUCACAGCAGUGGCGAUAAUUGGCUCCUACUUCCCACUGUCAUCCUCGCAGAUGCUGAGUGUACUGCCACUAAACACCGACUCGCUGCAAACUGCCAUCAUUAUCAGCCCGCUGACAAAGCCUACUUGACAGCACAAAAAUACGGCGGCAGCGCCGAGGAAAACAACGCAAGCCUGUGAAAUAUUUCAGAAAUGAUAAAAAAAAA